RNAcentral lists this ribosomal RNA (497 nucleotides) under uncultured bacterium. RNAcentral describes it as "partial 16S ribosomal RNA". It matches the Rfam family "Bacterial small subunit ribosomal RNA", at positions 28 to 507 of the family's 1533-position model. The record is from RNAcentral.
GAUGAACGCUGGCGGCGUGCCUAAUACAUGCAAGUCGAGCGAACAGACGAGGAGCUUGCUCCUCUGACGUUAGCGGCGGACGGGUGAGUAACACGUGGAUAACCUACCUAUAAGACUGGGAUAACUUCGGGAAACCGGAGCUAAUACCGGAUAAUAUCUUGAACCGCAUUGUUCAAUAGUGAAAGACGGUUUUGCUGUCACUUAUAGAUGGAUCCGCGCCGCAUUAGCUAGUUGGUAAGGUAACGGCUUACCAAGGCAACGAUGCGUAGCCGACCUGAGAGGGUGAUCGGCCACACUGGAACUGAGACACGGUCCAGACUCCUACGGGAGGCAGCAGUAGGGAAUCUUCCGCAAUGGGCGAAAGCAUGACGGAGCAACGCCGAGUGAGUGAUGAAGGUCUUCGGAUCGUAAAACUCUGUUAUUAGGGAAGAACAAAUGUGUAAGUAACUAUGCACGUCUUGACGGUACCUAAUCAGAAAGCCACGGCUAACUACGUG